GAGAGAGACCCGAAACUACAUGUACCUGUCCUGGCAUCACAUUUGAGGAGGAGAUGAAGUCGGUGAAUAUGACCUAGCCUGGGGGAGUUUCCAGAAGAGGGCCCAGAACCACCGGCCGCCAGGAGUGGAGGUCCUUUGUUGUUGCUCUACAUGUCAGGAGGCAUCGGGCAGUAGGUAAGACUAACCCUGGUAGAAGCACCAUCUUGAUACCAUCAUUCAAACUCUCAUCAGCUGUAUCAUUAUAGGUGGACUAAAAGAACAAUAUUCAUGCAGAUAUAAUGAUGCCUUAAGUUGAAAUGGAAGGUGUCCUGAAUCUGCAACCAUUCAUCUGGUUUCGUAACUCCUUUCAUAGUGCUAUUGGAACCUGCUCCCUACCAGUAUAACAUCGAACAGAUUGGAAGAAUAAAGGCCUAUGGGAAGUGCCUUUUAUAUUCCUACUUGCCACAAAGCAGUCCGUGGUUUAGCGCAAUCUAAACUGGACUAAUGUAAUGCUCUUCGUGCUUGAAUUAAGGCGAUCUGGACCGCUGCAUCUAUUGUGCCAUUUGCCAUACGCCAACUUCGCUGGCUACAAGUCAAGGAAAGGAUAUACAUGAACAUCAGUGUCCGUCUCCUGAUUUUCAAAGUCAAUGACAGAGAUCCAGAUUACAUGUAUUUAAAGGAAUCCCUUGUGCGUCAUUUUCAUUCUCGGCGCACUUGCCUUUUUAUUUUUGUGAUCAUUACGCACCUACAAAUUAGCUACUGGUGAUGCAACUUUCUCCACUACUGCUCCAAGGCCAUGGAAUUAGCUCCUUCCUCUCCUCCAGUUGUCAACAACCUUGGAUCAAUCCAAAUACAUUUUGAGAAGACCUACCAUAUUCCUGAUCAUCUUUGCUCUGGACUUACAACAAUACUGUCACUGCCUGGUAAUUUGAAUGUUUUAAAAUCUCAUGUGCUGACUAGGAUGGCGUCUCAAAGCGCUUUGUAUCUCGCAAAAUAAUGUGUUGUGUAAAAGCGAACACGCAAUGAGGUCAAGCAUAAGGGUAACCAUGGAUAUUGCCUUUGAUUACUUUUUAACAAAACUGAAAAAUUCAUCAAAAUUAGACAAGGGAUAAUAAAGUAAUGUAUGACAUUCUAACCUCUGCAUUAUAUUGGUGAAAGAGCUCUAAGCAUAUGCAAGUAGCAAGCUGAUGAUGUCAUACAGACGUACACGUAUCCCCAACUUAUUAUUUUGUAUAUAAAAUCGUGUAUUUAAUUUUGUUUACCAAGAAUGAAACAAAUCGGAUUGUAAACUGUAUUGAUGUGACUUACCUGUUUUGAUUAUUGCUGGAAGUUCUUUUGCUACAUGGGAUUGGAAGACAUACUUAUUACACACAUGAAGUAAUUGUUAUUUUAUCUGGUAACAUGAGAAUAAUAAAAAUGUGGGCAUGAUAUCAUAAACUUACAUGUACAUGUAUCUACUUGCAUGUGUUGAUGACCAAUAUUUUUGUAAUUAUUUUAAAAAAAUUAAUUUUAUCUGAUUUUGAUAAAAUUUUCACUAUUUUGCCUGGUAAAAAUUACUUUAUUUAUCAUAGAUUAUGUUGAACCUGUAUCAUAUACAAGUACAACUUUAAAGAUAAAUUACCAGUUGUAGUAACAAUCUUAAAAUGAGUUCGAACAGAAUCCAAUAGAAUUACCAGCAAAAUAUAAAAGAUAUGUGCCAAAAUUAUAGCUUGGGAAGAAAAUGUGUAAUUGCUGAGAAAUGAGCAAAAUAAGCAUGUAAUUCUAUCAAAUGUCAGGUAUUUUUCAAAUCAAUCAUAAUACAGUGUCCUGUCCCACAUAUGCUUUUCUGUGUUAGUGAUCAUCAGAAUUAUUGAUUUUAAGUUCAAAAUUCAUGAUUUUACAAAGAUACAAGUUUACAUUAAUGUACCAGAUCUAGAGACUCUGUACAAUAUUUUGACAAUUUCUCAAGAAAUAAUUGUUUGCUGCAACUACUGUCUUUUACCUCUAAGUGAUAGUGUAAUACAACCACAAACUUUUCAUAAGAAUUAAUGUACAUGUAUGAUUCUUUCACCCAAAUUUACAUGCAUUGAUACUGUUGACUACUUGCCAAAACUGAGUUCCUGCCAAAAGCCUUUUUUUUUACGAUGUACAUGCUUUUAUAGACGACCUGCCAAAACAUUGUUUUGUAUAUAUAUUCAAGGACCAACCAAAAAGAGAUGAAUUAAAUGUUUGAAGGAAAUUGAAAUUAACUUUUAAAAUGAUAGCUGUAAAUGCAGUAUUAUUUUAGGGUUCCCACAGUCAUGGAAAAUCCUGAAAAAAAUUGUGGUCAUGGAAAGUCAGGGAAAAAUUCGGGGAAUUUGGAAAAUUUGUGAAAAGUCAUGGAAUUGCAUUUACCUCUUGGCUAUGGCAGCUUUCUAGUUUUUUUUAUGUCUCACAACUCUCAUACUCUGUGAUUGUACUCUACUAUUAUAAUUGGUGUUCAUGAUCAUAACAUGUCUGAUUUUGUAAACCGUGCCAGAAAGGAAUUAAGUCAUGGAAAGCAGCAAUUUAGUCAUGGAAAGGUCAUGGAAUUCUGUUCCUGUUUUUCUGUGGGAACCCUGAAUAGGUUUGUGCACUUGACACAGUGUGCACUAACAGAUGAACUUUGUAAUGCCAUGAUAUAAACCAGUACAAUAUCUUAAAGGAUUAUAAAACCCAAAAUAUAAUACCACAUGAUACCAUUGAUAAAUACAGGACAAUGAAAAUGAAUCCACUCAUAUACCCCAAAUCCGAUUUCCCAGUAUGGAGUACCACCUUUUCAAAGUUGGCAUCUUCUGGUUCGAAGUCUAUGGAUGGAGAUUAUUCCGUCAGCGACGAAAUACAUGUACAUCUCUAAACAUUUGGGCAUUAUAUAUUCUAUUUUAUCAAUAAUAAAUCAAAUGUGCAGAUAAAACUCAUAAAACAUUAAUUAAAAUUUGUUUAAUAUUAUAUGAUAGGUUCAAAUUACGAAUUGAUGAGUUUUAAUAAUAAGAAUUACACCCUAAUCUACGAUUUACAAAUUGGCAGCGAGAAUCAAUCCGAAAUUGGGGUGUAAAUCUUAUCAUUAAAACUCAUCAUAUUGUAUUUUGAACCUACCAUAUAAUAUUAAACAAAUUUUAACUAAUAUUUUUAUGAGUUUUAUCUGUACAUUUGAUUUGUUAUUGAUAAAAUAGAAUAUAUAAUGCCCAAACGUUUAGAGAUGUAGUUCGUCGCUGAUGUAAUAAUUUUCUAACUAACCCCGCGAAAAUGGCGACCUCCAUCCAGAAAAUAUUGUAAGAGGCCAACUUUGAAAAGGUGGUACUCCGUAAUUGGAAAUCGGAUUGGGGUAUGAGUGGAUUCAUUUUGAUCGUCCUGUAUUUAUCAAUGGGAUCAUGUGGUAUUAUAUUUUGGGUGUUAUUUUCCUUUAAUUCAGAUAAUACAUGCCAGGGUAUCGUCCUAGUUUUCAUUUUUAGUGCGUAAAUUGAUCUAAUUAUUCGAUAAAUAUUUCUUAAAAUGAAUGGUGCCUGUUCCUUUGAACACUAUUCUAAACUGAGUGGACUCCAAAUACAUCUCUCAUCUAUCGUCUAUUUCUACUUGCCCUUCGGCCUUGAAGUAAACUUGGGAGAAUUAUGCAUUUUGUUAUACAGUAUGCAAUUUUGAGUACAGUGCACUUUGCGGCAGCUACUUAUAUGAUAUUAUCUAUUGUAGACACAUCCUUAUGUUUUGUUCAUUUUCUUAAAAACAAUUAAGAGUUUAAUCAUUUUUGUCUUUAAACAUAAAACAAAGAGUAAUCAAUCCAUUCUGUAUGUGUGACCUGCAAAAAAAACUAAAAUGGUCAUUAAUUUGGUUUGCUGAAAAGCCUGAUAGCCUUUGAGGUAACUUUUUAAAGUAUUUAGAAGAAAUGUAUUUUUUUUUAAGUAUUCAUAUGCACUGCAAUUUCUUUGAUAGUUACUGUUAUGUUACACUGUUUGUACAGUAAAGCAGCUGUUAUACAUUUUUUGUCAAUAGCAAAUGUAAACCAGUAUUGUAAACUGAUGACUCUAUGAGCUAAAUACCAGUACUAUCUAUAUCACUUGUAAAAUCA
Molecule: long non-coding RNA, 4039 nt
Organism: Lytechinus pictus (painted urchin)
Lineage: Eukaryota; Metazoa; Echinodermata; Echinoidea; Temnopleuroida; Toxopneustidae
Exons: 3
Source: RefSeq, a predicted model, not a curated record